Molecule: transfer RNA, 85 nt
Filed under: Arsenophonus sp.
Lineage: Bacteria; Pseudomonadati; Pseudomonadota; Gammaproteobacteria; Enterobacterales; Morganellaceae
Description: tRNA-Leu
Rfam family: tRNA
About the family: Transfer RNA (tRNA) molecules are approximately 80 nucleotides in length.
Source: RNAcentral
GCCCAGGUGGUGAAAUUGGUAAACACAAGGGACUUAAAAUCCCUCGGUCCUUAAGACUCUGCGGGUUCAAGUCCCGCCCUGGGCA